CCAACUCAUAUCUUCGACCAGGCUACACACGUGCUACAAUGGCGCAUACAAAGAGAAGCGACCUCGCGAGAGCAAGCGGACCUCAUAAAGUGCGUCGUAGUCCGGAUUGGAGUCUGCAACUCGACUCCAUGAAGUCGGAAUCGCUAGUAAUCGUGGAUCAGAAUGCCACGGUGAAUACGUUCCCGGGCCUUGUACACACCGCCCGUCACACCAUGGGAGUGGGUUGCAAAAGAAGUAGGUAGCUUAACCUUCGGGAGGGCGCUUACCACUUUGUGAUUCAUGACUGGGGUGAAGUCGUAACAAGGUAACCGUAGGGGAACCUGCGGUUGGAUCACCUCCAUAA
RNAcentral lists this ribosomal RNA (343 nucleotides) under Escherichia coli. Its description in RNAcentral is "bacterial SSU rRNA". It matches the Rfam family "Bacterial small subunit ribosomal RNA", at positions 1190 to 1533 of the family's 1533-position model. Lineage: Bacteria; Pseudomonadati; Pseudomonadota; Gammaproteobacteria; Enterobacterales; Enterobacteriaceae. The record is from RNAcentral.